AUUGAACGCUGGCGGCAUGCCUUACACAUGCAAGUCGAACGGCAGCACGGGGGCAACCCUGGUGGCGAGUGGCGAACGGGUGAGUAAUAUAUCGGAACGUACCCUGGAGUGGGGAGUAACGUAGCGAAAGUUACGCUAAUACCGCAUACGAUCUAAGGAUGAAAGUGGGGGAUCGCAAGACCUCAUGCUCCUGGAGCGGCCGAUAUCUGAUUAGCUAGUUGGUGGGGUAAAGGCCUACCAAGGCAUCGAUCAGUAGCUGGUCUGAGAGGACGACCAGCCACACUGGGACUGAGACACGGCCCAGACUCCUACGGGAGGCAGCAGUGGGGGAAUUUUGGACAAAUGGGGGGCGAACCCCUGAUCCAGCAAUGCCGCGUGAGUGAAGAAGGCCUUCGGUUGUAAG
Molecule: ribosomal RNA, 403 nt
Filed under: uncultured bacterium
Lineage: Bacteria
Description: bacterial SSU rRNA
Rfam family: Bacterial small subunit ribosomal RNA
Source: RNAcentral